GCUCAGGAUGAACGCUGGCGGCGUGCCUAAUACAUGCAAGUCGAACGCGAGCACUUGUGCCCGAGUGGCGAACGGGUGAGUAAUACAUAAGUAACCUGCCCUAGACAGGGGGAUAACUAUUGGAAACGAUAGCUAAGACCGCAUAGGUACGGACACUGCAUGGUGACCGUAUUAAAAGUGCCUCAAAGCACUGGUAGAGGAUGGACUUAUGGCGCAUUAGCUGGUUGGCGGGGUAACGGCCCACCAAGGCGACGAUGCGUAGCCGACCUGAGAGGGUGACCGGCCACACUGGGACUGAGACACGGCCCAGACUCCUACGGGAGGCAGCAGUA
Molecule: ribosomal RNA, 332 nt
Filed under: uncultured bacterium
Lineage: Bacteria
Description: bacterial SSU rRNA
Rfam family: Bacterial small subunit ribosomal RNA
Source: RNAcentral